RNAcentral lists this ribosomal RNA (261 nucleotides) under uncultured eukaryote. Its description in RNAcentral is "partial 18S ribosomal RNA". The record is from RNAcentral.
ACCAGACUCGCUCUCCAAUAAAUCCUCGUUAAGGAUUUAAAUUGUACCCAUUCCGAUGACAGACCUCAAAGAGGACUGUCUCGUUAUUUUUCGUCACUACCUCUCCGUUCUGGAAGUGGGUAAUUUGCGCGCCUGCUGCCUUCCUUGGAUGUGGUAGCCGUUUCUCAGGCUCCCUCUCCGGAGUCGAACCCUUAUUCUCCGUUACCCGUUACUACCAUGGUAGGCGUAUAACCUACCAUCGAAAGUUGAUAAGGCAGACAC